Molecule: non-coding RNA, 641 nt
Organism: Zootoca vivipara (common lizard)
Lineage: Eukaryota; Metazoa; Chordata; Lepidosauria; Squamata; Lacertidae
Source: RefSeq, a predicted model, not a curated record
UCAUGAUUUGGCAACAUUUGGGUUGUUCUGUUGGGUUAGAAGGCAUACGUAGAAACAUAUCCAAAUUUUGCAAUCCGAAAUAAUACCCAAAGUCAGCUUUGUUUUUUGGAACUUAGCUUUCCUGACGGCCUUUUCCCCUCAACCAGGAACUGUGCAGAACGACAUUUGCUUAGCCAGCGACCAAUGCAACAUGCAGAAGGAGUGCAUUAGAAAGGAGGAGCCAAGCAUUCCACGUGCAGGAAAGGUCUCUGAGCUUAUAAUUCUGAACAUGGAAGCAGCCCUGCAGACUUUCCCCCUGCAAACGUAUGUUAAGAAACCCCUAUGCUCUUGGUGGGACCCACAAAUACAGGGAAAUCUGCGAUCACCAACAGCUUUGUGAUUCAGUGCCCAAAGACCAAGUACACUCCGAGACCAAGUUUCUCUGGCAGAACCACAGCCAGUAGGAUCCAGGACAUUAAUAUGUCCAAACUGGUCAGGGGAAGAAAGGCACUUUUUGGUCCACCCGCUGGGGAAAAGGCUGUUGCAUUCGUAGGUUGGAACGUUCCUUAUGAAUUCAAUGAAUCUGAUCUGAGACUCAGUAUGCGGCAGAUCCAGAUGUUUCUGGAUGAAUAUGUAGAAACCUCAUUUGAAGCUCUCACAUA